This 254-nucleotide unclassified non-coding RNA is filed under the name Candidatus Yanofskyibacteriota bacterium. RNAcentral's name for it is "Candidatus Yanofskybacteria bacterium contains 16S-23S intergenic spacer region". It matches the Rfam family "Bacterial small subunit ribosomal RNA", at positions 524 to 776 of the family's 1533-position model. The record is from RNAcentral. Lineage: Bacteria; Candidatus Yanofskyibacteriota.
AACAGAACCCCCAAGCGUUACCCGGAUUUAUUGGGCGUAAAGUGUCUGUAGCCGGUUUGGCAAGUCGCAGGUUAAAUUCUCGAGGCUCAACCUUGAGGCCGCCUGCGAAACUGCCAGACUUGAGGGCGUUAGAGGUUACUGGAACUCUUGGUGGAGGGGUGAAAUCCGUUGAUAUCAAGAGGAACACCAAAAGCGAAGGCAUGUAACUGGGGCGACCCUGACGGUGAGAGACGAAAGCGUGGGGAGCGAAAAGG